Molecule: ribosomal RNA, 253 nt
Filed under: uncultured bacterium
Lineage: Bacteria
Description: partial small subunit ribosomal RNA
Rfam family: Bacterial small subunit ribosomal RNA
Source: RNAcentral
AGGACGAACGCUGGCGGCGUGCUUAACACAUGCAAGUCGAGCGGAAAGGCCCUUCGGGGUACUCGAGCGGCGAACGGGUGAGUAACACGUGAGCAACCUGCCCUUAGCUUCGGGAUAGCUCCCGGAAACGGGAAUUAAUACCGGAUACGACUGCGGUAGACAUCUACCACGGUGAAAAGAAUUUCGGCUAAGGAUGGGCUCGCGGUCUAUCAGCUAGUUGGUGGGGUAACGGCCUACCAAGGCGACGACGGGU